This 513-nucleotide ribosomal RNA is filed under the name uncultured bacterium. RNAcentral describes it as "bacterial SSU rRNA". It matches the Rfam family "Bacterial small subunit ribosomal RNA", at positions 34 to 543 of the family's 1533-position model. The record is from RNAcentral.
CGCUGGCGGCGUGCCUAACACAUGCAAGUCGAACGAAGCGCUUUAUUUGAUUUUCUUCGGAGAUGAAGAUUUUGCGACUGAGUGGCGGACGGGUGAGUAACGCGUGGGUAACCUGCCUCAUACAGGGGGAUAACAGUUGGAAACGACUGCUAAUACCGCAUAAGCGCACAGUACCGCAUGGUACGGUGUGAAAAACUCCGGUGGUAUGAGAUGGACCCGCGUCUGAUUAGCCAGUUGGCGGGGUAACGGCCCACCAAAGCGACGAUCAGUAGCCGACCUGAGAGGGUGACCGGCCACAUUGGGACUGAGACACGGCCCAAACUCCUACGGGAGGCAGCAGUGGGGAAUAUUGCACAAUGGGGGAAACCCUGAUGCAGCGACGCCGCGUGAGCGAAGAAGUAUUUCGGUAUGUAAAGCUCUAUCAGCAGGGAAGAAAAAAUGACGGUACCUGACUAAGAAGCACCGGCUAAAUACGUGCCAGCAGCCGCGGUAAUACGUAUGGUGCAAGCGUUA